Molecule: RNA transcript, 1459 nt
Organism: Ruditapes philippinarum (Manila clam)
Lineage: Eukaryota; Metazoa; Mollusca; Bivalvia; Venerida; Veneridae
Exons: 6
Source: RefSeq, a predicted model, not a curated record
UGACGUUUAAAAGCUAUAUAUAGAUAGACGCAAUGCAUAAAUAAGAAAGAUGUUGUAUUUUACAAAAUAUAAACAUUCGUCUUUUACUCAAUGUAGACUAAUUUGUAUAAAUACCAUUUACCAAGCAGAUGAAUUAAUAUUAUAGCGAUACAGGUCCAGGUGGUAGAGUGCAAUUCGGUGGCAAGAGAAAGAGGCUUGAAAACACCUGUUUUCGAAAAUACGGAUAACAGUUCACGUUAUUUUGCUUUUAGACAAACAGACCGUUGACUUACAAAUGCAGUGUAACCAAGACGUACCUAAACAUCAAGAAAUGACAUUUAAGUAUUGGCGAUAACAAACCGAUUAAUUGGACAAAAUGAGUGACGAAUGACCUUGACCUUCGUUGCAAUGUUUAAAGAACAAUCUUAGUAAUAGAUUGUUGAAGAAUCUGAUCUUCCAUCAGAAGUAAACCAACUUGAAAGUGUUGCUGCUCAAAGUUGUUUGGAAAUGGAUUUUACAACAGAAAAUGUAUCUAAAGCAAUUGAUACUUUCUAUGAAAGAAAUGGUGACUAUAACUUCAAAGCAAAAGAUUUGUGUGAAAUUUUGCUAGAAGAAGAACAACAACAUGAUAAGUGUGUACCAGACAAAGCGGAGAUCACAACUAUUUCCGUGCAACCGACCGAUGGCCACGAUAUGGACCAUGCAGAUUUGAGCUACAUCAUGUUUGAUGAAUGUCAAAUGUGUAAAAUGUGCGAUAUAGAUCAUCUGACAUUCAUAGCAUAUCAUCAUUUAUACAACUGUCAUCAAUACUCCCCUUGUCAUAUCAUCUACAUGAUUAUUCUGAAAGGAUUUAGAAGAGUUUGGGAGUAUUUUAUACAUUUGCUCAUACUCCCACAGCGCAUAAUUAUGCUUUUGGGACGUUUGUGUUGCAUUUACAUUUGACACCCUCGUACAGCAUCAACGAGGGCAAUGGUAAUUUGUGUUUAACAUGUGCUAUAUAAAUAUGUUUGAAUGCACUCGUAAAUUGGUUGGAGUGACUAGUGUAUACGGAAUGUUUCAAGUACAUAAGUAAAUGAACAGUAUGCUUCGUGUCUAAUACAAACAAGCAUACGUUUUAAUGAAGAAUUUAUAUAAUUAAAAUUGGUGAUUUAGAUGUGUUUAAUAGAUAUGUUUGAAUGUACUACAGUGACUAGUGUAUACAUGCUUCAAGUAAAUAAGUAAAUGAACAGUAUGCUCCGUGUUUAAUACAAAAAGCAUACCUUUGAAGUAUAAUAAAAUAUUAAUGAAUUAUUAAUAUAAUUGAUAAUUUGUUUUUGCUCUCAGCUCUCAGUCACAUACAUUUUAUUGGUAAAUGAGAAUUUAAUUCCCUUUAGGAGUAGAAAUCUACAAAAGUAAAAAUAGUAAAAGUGUCGGAAAGCAGACUCGAAUAGAAUGAGUCUGUUCAUACAAGAUAGUUAGAGGCGCAAUGUCUCUCGCGCAA